UUUUCUGUCGUCUGCAACUCCUCACUCUAUGUCUCUAUCCAGACACACCAUGAGAAAUCCAAAUUGCCAGAAUUUUGAUUUCAAUAUUUCGCUAUGGCCGUUUGGAGAAAACCAAGGAUUAAACCCACCAAAUACAUUUUCAGGGAUGUCACCCAAAACAUCUAAUUAUCCAUCCCUGAUUAUGAAUUAGAAUUUAGAAGUGUCCAGAAUGCAGUGCAUAAAUAACCUGUUUCUUCAUUUCCACGUAAUUAGAGUCCCCGGACCCAAAAACCAAUUCCAACUCUCCCCUCUCCAAAACCCCUAGCGAGACUCAGAGCCGCCGCCUCCUCCGGUUGAAGCAUGCAUCAGGUGGCGGCGGUGCUGAGGAUUCUAGCGUGUGCUUAUCUCCUCAUGUUCACUUUCUUCUGGACUCCUCGCAUUCCCCAACUUAUGGGCGGGACACCUCUGCAGAGGGAACUCGCCCGGAUUUGGGGCGUCACCAAUUUGAUACUCAUGUUUGACAUUCUCCGGAAUAUCCUCAUCUUUGCCUAUUACAUAGUCAACAUGCUACUGAUUUACAUAAUCAACAUGCCACUGCUGAUCCGCAACUCAAGGAGGAUAAUCUGUUUCUUGUGUCUUUGGGGAGCUAUAUCCCUUGCUCUUUAUAUUUCAAACUGAGGCAGCAAAGCAUCAGGAAAGGGUGUGUCAGAAAAAGCUUCAUCAGGGAAGGCUUUAAUUUUGGGUAUGGAUUAGCAGUUUGAAUUUUGCUAACUUGUUGGUAGGAAUUUGUGAAGUUAACACUCUAGAACAGAACCGGAAGUUAAUCCUCUAGAAGCUACAGAAAAAGGAGUUGCAAUUGUUUAUAAAUGUGUGGAAUGAUGUUGAGAAGAACAGAAAAAACUCAAAUUUAUUUUCCAUGUUUUAACCAGUCUAAAUAGUACGAUAAAUUUGGAGUACAUGUUGUUUUAAUUCCCAUAGUUUUAUGCAUUUUCCUUUCGAACUGUUUGUUUGCUCUUUCUUCAACUUAUACUUUGUUCGCAAGAAAUGCUGGGUCUGAAAAGAAGGCGAAAAUGCAAUAUUAGCGUUUCAGACUUGGGGCAGGAAGGUUUGCAAUUGUAAGCUAUUCACUGCCUAUGAGGCCAUCGCAUGUAAUUGUUGAUUCAUGUAUUGAGGUGGAGCCAAUCUUCCAUGCUUUAUCAGUUCAUGAUUCUCAAUCUGUAUGGUUCAUACACUUUGCUGGACAUAGAAGUUUAGAAAGGAAAUUUCGUUCAAUUCGUCUUAUUUUAGAUGGGAGGCAAACUUGUAAUCAAUGUAUUGAAUCACCACAUCUGCUAGAAAAUGUGUAUGUUUGGUUUGGGUUUCAAUGGUUA
Long non-coding RNA from Rosa chinensis, 1349 nucleotides. RefSeq lists it as uncharacterized. The record is from RefSeq and is a predicted model, not a curated record. The transcript has 3 exons. Lineage: Eukaryota; Viridiplantae; Streptophyta; Magnoliopsida; Rosales; Rosaceae.